ACAUGCAAUCAGCGUUGCUGAAAGCAGCUGUCCAGGUCUCUUGUCGCUUAAAUUCCACUUCUCCUUGGAGCGGGGGAUUUAGAAACUGGAGAAGAUGAGGCUGUUAGAAAAUGAAAAAUGAUGAGCAGAAGCAAUUUUCCUCAUGGGCUCUGGCCCCAAAAGGAGCAUCAGUCUGUGCUUUGGAUGCAGAUCCUUGUCUGUUCUGUUCUUGAUUUAUUCCUGCAAAUCUGCCCAAGUGCAGUUAAAGUUAAUGAAAAAGAGGAGAGCAGAGAGCAGGGAUCCACAGGGCUGAGACACUGACAGUGCGAGGCACUCAGGCUGGAGCUCCUGGGCAGCCUGGGCUGGAGGUCACAGUCUGCAUAGAACAUGCCAUUCUUAUUGGGAAUACCAUGUCUGUGCCAAGGCCCGUCACAAGGACCUGUCGGGUAAAUAAAGCUGCACCUGCCCAGGCCUCAGGGAAAACUCUGUGAACUCUCUCUCCCUGACUUUAUCAUGGGUCAUUCAAAAUGGGAAGAGGAUUUUGGAAACUGUGUCCAAGGUUGAAGGGGGAGGAGCAGCAGACAGCGAUGUUCGUGUCUGCUGGAGAGGCAAUCAUGCCUCUCCAGUUAUGUCCAUCUUUGAACAGAUUUGGAUUUUCCCUUGAAGCUGGGCUGGAUCCUGACUUCCUCAUAUUGCCAGAGUUAGACAAAUAAUGAGUGUGAUUAGAGAAGACUGGAAGAUUAGAGCUCGCACACCUGGGCUCUGACUGCAGGCCCUUUGCAUCUCUCACCUGGUCUCCUUACUGCAUCUCGGCCCCCCAGCUGCCUUCACUUGGGCUCCCUCAAAGCCACCACCUGAAGGCAGUAGCCAAUGCAAGUACCCACGUGACUGUGUGGCUCAAAAUCCUGUGCUCCUCAUGCCACAGGAUGAAGUCUGAGAUCUCGAAUGUGGCCUCUGAGGCCCCAUAAGAUCAGGCCCUGCUUUGUGUCCUGAUGCCAAGGUCCUCAAUGCUGAGAGCCCUGAGCCCAAGACAAGGUGUGGUGCACACAGACCUUGCCUGGAUCUUUUCGAAACCAGUGGUGGAUGGCCAAGAUUCAUUUCCACUUAUUUCCCAUGCAAAAGGCAAAGUUGUCAGCUGUUUGGUGAAUAUGUCAGAGCUCUGGCCUAGAAGAAUCUCCUGGAACCCUGGCUGCCUGGGUAAGCCACAGUUGCGCUGCUUCUCCACCCAGUGACUCCAGCUGCUGCCCUUUGAUCUCUGAUGUUUACCCUGUGCUGAUUUUCUCUUGCCUCACUCGCUUUCUGCUGUCCACACAUCUCGAUGAGCCGGCUGCGCCUGCCUCUGUGAGGUCCCCACGUUCCUCAGGUUUGCACCUUUUAUUGUGCUUGUCAGGACAGGGAAGCAGCUUGUACCGCUGUGGGGAAAAUAGAAACAGAUAAGCCUUACUGAGGGCUCAGGGAAAGGGCCUCUCCUCUUCUCUCCUUGCAUAUUGUGAGUAUACUUUGAUAUUUCUCUUUUGACACCUGAGAUGUUUUGCAGACUUACUUCCACAUUUUCUAUAACAUCCCGGAUACACGAGGUUACCAGAUUGCUGGAUUCUGAAUAACUGAAGCAUCUCAGCAUCAAUCAUCCUCUAAGUGAACCCAAUGCCCCGAGGCCUGCUUCUGUUUUCAGCUUGUUCUGGCUACAGAGGUAGUAAGUCUCCUACUGCCUCUUCAUUGUCAAGAUCAUUCUGAGCCAGGAAAAGAGAGACAAGAAGGGAAUGGGAACAGUUCUGUAGAAUUUGAUCCUCACUUUUCUUGAGCUCUUUGCUCUGAACAAAACUAAAGCAGAUGUUUUGCCAUCUCUGUCAUCUGUUGUGGCUCCAGGUGACACAUCUCAGAGGUUCCUGUGACAUUUUCAUGUUUGCGGAGCUCCUGCCUCCCAUUGCCUGUCAAGGUCCUUCCACAGCAACACCCCUGGGCAGCAGCACACACUUCUGCAACCACCAUCCAAAUUGGUGUGUCCAAGACUUCAUGGUCGGAACGCAUUGCUGCAAAUUUCCAAACCCUUUUCACAGUAACUCUCAUCAUAACAGCUGCCAUCUCUGUAGUGCCCAGCAUUGGGCUGAGGGUUAACCACUUAUUGUCUCUUCUACAUGUGAAAAUAACCUUAUGAAGAUGUUAGUAAUAUUCCCAUUUUAAAGAUCAAAAAACUGAGGCUCAGAGAGGUUACCUUGUCAAGAAUCCUAGUUACUGAGUGGCAGAACUGGGAUGUGAAUACACCUCUGUCUGGUUUCAAAGCUCAUGCUCUAAUAUAAGCUGUAUAUUUGGGUGAGACUGCUUCUUGGGACCAAGGGUAACUCUGGAGAGGCGUUCAGCAGAGGCUACAGUAUUUACCUCUUGUAGCAGUUAGGGGAAGCAGCUAUUACCUACUAUUUCAUGCCCAGCAGGUGUAAUCCUGCCAUUUGUAUGGUGAGGUUUGCCAUCCUAAAUCUAGAACCCAUGAUUGCCUUCAUUAGACUGCCUUUGCCAGCCCGGUAUACCUACUCAGAAGACAUAUCUGAGCUGACUGUGAACUGAAUUUUGUUCAGGACUUUAUUUAUUAUCUGGGUCUUAUGUUCACCCCCUCUAAUGGAGUGUUCAUUCUUGUUUCAGGUCCCCAGGUAUCAAUGUCAACAACAAUCCGUGUCCAACAUCUUCAAAAUGUUUGGGCAUUUACCCUCCCCAGAGUCCAGUUACCCAAGGAAAUGGCUGCAGGUCCCUUUGGAGGAAGGUCUGGGAGAUUAGCUUCUUCUUCAGUCCGUCUUGCCCUCAGCUUCCUGAUGAGCCAUCCUUGGUUUAUUUUAGUUGUAGAGGUUGAGCAAUAAUACUUUGUUGGCUGCCUGUUUUUCCCCUCGAAUGCAAAUUUCUUUUUACCAUUUCCGUAGCUCUUUGUGGGUUAGAUCCCACUAGCUGUCACACCCACUUUGCUGCCCCUUAUGAUAAUUACAUUAUGAUGACUACAAACACCUUGCAUUGGACAGUAAGUGCUACCUCUAUCAGUCCCAUUGUUACUAGGGAGCCCAGGCCUAUAUCAUCUACCUUUGGAUAUCCUGUAAUAGUCUUGACCUUCAGAGAAGAGCACCCACUGAGCUUCUUCAUGACACUUGCCCUCUCACCGGCGUAUUCUUCUUGCUUUGGCAAAUACAGCAUUCUUCUAGGCCCUCUUGUGAAAAAAAAACCUAUCAGCUGUUCGGUUCUCUGGCCUUGUAUGGUAUAUCCACUCUAGCUUGCCUAUUUUCUGAGCCUUUCAUCCCUUCCUUCCCCAUCCUCCAUGAUCUGACAUCUCCAUUUGACUUGGCAUCACAUUUUCUAAGCGUCCAACUCCUGGGGUCCUUACCAGGAUGUUAAAUGUUGCAUCAAAGGAGAGUGCUUCCAUAGCAAUACAUUUUCCCCAUCCAGCUUUGCAUUUCAUCCCACUUUGUCCAGCAGUCUCUCUAUUCCCUCCUGCACAUGUGCUUGUGGCACUUGUAGGACAUAUUGGCUGGGUCCCACAGCUCUCUGGGCUAUAGUUCGUUUCUUCCCUUAGCACGUUUACACUUUUCUGGCUAGAAUAUGUUGUGGCUUGACCUUACCUAUGGGUCUGGUGGCCAAGAGUAGAUUUUUGAGGGGAGAAGGAGGGAGUUGUCAUGCAUUGUCUUGCAAAGCAGAACCUCAUCAUCAUCUUCAUGCAAAAGCAGGCAUUAGCCUUUAAGGAGAAGAGUAGGAUACUAUUCCAGGCCUAGAGAAUUCCAGAGGAUCUGGGAACUUGAGAACUUGAGAUGUUUUAAUAUAUGAACCCAAAUGUCCCCAUCCCACUCUUUCCUAAUCAUAGAACUGACUUUGGCCUAGCCGACCUGCCAGGACUAAACUUCAGUGUUGCUUUCAGUAUUUCUACUCUUAUAAUUAAACCUGGGGCCUGCUUCUCAGCUGUAUCUGCCCUGCAGUUGCAGAGGAUAAUAGUCUUUUCAUAGGCUUCAUAUAAAAGCCAAGAGGUCCUCUGGUAUGUGUACCUUGCCUUAUAUUGGUGUUUAAUCACUUAGUCUUUUAUUAAAUUUCUCCAAUGAAUUAACAGCUUCUAGCAACAACCAUCUGAUUCCAUAGUUCUUAUAAUUACUAUUUCCCCCAAAACUCUUAAACACCUGAGAUCUCGCAUCUGCCAGAGCAGUUUCUUCCCAAGUAUCAUGUCCUAGUUCACCACCAGUGAAAAUUUUAACAAGUGAAUCAUAACUGCAAGUGCCUACCACCAGUGAUGAGGUCUUCACUGAAGCAGCUAGCAGAUGACAGCUCCAACAUGCUGCUGGGACCAACGUUCAUAGGUCAAGUUCCCCAGAAAACAGACUGUGUGCAGGAGGUUUCCUAUGAGUGGUCUCAGGACCAGCCCCUGCGAGGGGUGAGGGAAGCAGAAGUGGGCAGGGGGAAUAAACUAUGAUCCAGUUGCAACAGCAGACUCAGCCAAUCCUGUGGGGAGCUCUGGAACUGGACUCUUUCCAGUUGAGGCAAGACGGCUGGAACCCUGUGCCCCUUCAUCAGUGAGUAAUAGGAUGCAGGCUGCCUCCAGGUAAGGGAUGUAUCUUUGGGUGAGACUGCUUCUUAGGACCAAUGGUAAUUCUGGAGAGGGGCUCAGCAAGAGGCUACAAUAUCUACAUCUUGCAGCAGCUAGGGGAAGUAGUGCUCCCAUCCUGAUGGCACAUCUGGGCAGCAUGUCCCUUCACUUUUUCUCUCCAAUGAGAGAGAAGAAAAGAGAUUAAAAAUAAAAUAGCCCCUUUGUUUUAUAUUUGAAAUGAUUGCUCUUGUGAUUAUAAUUUGCAACCUUAAUAUAAAAUGCACUGAAUUAACCUUCUACCACGUCAGAUACGAGGUUUGUUGUUGUUGUUGUUGUUGAUGAUGAUGUUGUUUUUGAGACGGAGUCUCGCUCUGUCACCCAGGCUGCGGUGCAGUGGCAUGAUCUUGGCUCACUGCAAGCUCUGCCUCCUGGGUUCAUGCCAUUCACCUGCCUCAGCCUCCCGAGUAGCUGGGAAUACAGGCAUCUACCACCGCGCCCAGCUAAUUUUUUUUUUUUUUUAUUUUUAGUAGAGAUGGGGUUUCACCGUGUUAGCCAGGAUGGUCUCAAUCUCCUGACCUCAUGAUCCACCCACCUUGGCCUCCCAAAAUGCUGGGAUUACAGGCAUGAGCCACUGCAUCUGGCCCAGAUACAAGGUUUUAAUGGUAUAUUCACAUUUACCUGCUUCUCCAUCUUUGGUGCUAUGAUGCCAUAUAUUUUACUUCUACAUAUGUUAUAAACCCCAUAAAUCCCAUAGCAUAUUGCUAUUAUUUGUGCCUUGAACAAUUACCUUUUAAAGCAAUGAUGAAAAGCAGCCUUUCAUAGUGACUCGCAUAUUUGCCCUUUUGGGUGCUCUGCAUUUCAGUAUCAGUGGAGAUACCUUGCUGAUCUUGUCAGUAUUUCAGGUAAGAAGGGGUUAAGCUGCGAUUCCAGAUGCCCUUGGUUCCUCGUGAGGUAAACUCUGGGCUUCUGAAUCCAAGCACCACGGGGCAUGUUUUCCAGUUUCUCUUCCACUGCCACCUCCUCAACAAAAUUUGGGACUGGGUGUGGUCUAGGCAGGCUGAAUUACUGGGCUGAGUGCUUUGUUUGGGGCUCCUCCAGAUGCCAUCCACCCUGCCAGCUGGCACAGUCAGGCUCAGCUGAGUUCUCCCCAUCCCUGCAGAGUCUCCCUGGCUCCAGCAGGACCCUCCUCCAUCUUGUAAUUCAGGGAUCUGACUCCCUCCCGCAGGUGUGGAAGCUGCUCACCAUAAAGGUCUCACUUCUCUCUGGAGUUCAGGUCAUCCAAGAUUUCUUGCAUCCCACUGCUCUUAACUAGCCUGGUAGAGAAGCACACUUUUUAUUUUGUCCCAGCUUUUCUUGUAGUUCUCUCAGAAACAAAGGUCUUUCCCGUUCUCUUACGUUCUAACCAGAAGCAGAGGUCCUCUGCCUGCUUGCCUGGCCUUUGCUCUCUUUCCUCCUGCAUCAGUGGAUUGCUGUGAGGAGCUGAUGUGGAUCAUAUUAUAUUAUGAGCCAGGAAGAUCACAGGGCUCUGGUUUACCCAAAGCCAGUAGCUGGGCUGCUCGAUGGGUCACUCCCACUUGGAAUGAUCACUGCAUCUCCCUUUAUCUCAAGGAAACACUAGUGGAAUCACCAGAGCACAUACAGCAUUGCAG
RNAcentral lists this long non-coding RNA (6171 nucleotides) under Homo sapiens (human). Its description in RNAcentral is "non-protein coding lnc-FGFR2-2:7". Lineage: Eukaryota; Metazoa; Chordata; Mammalia; Primates; Hominidae. The record is from RNAcentral.